This is a long non-coding RNA of Onychostruthus taczanowskii (white-rumped snowfinch), 2173 nucleotides long. RefSeq lists it as uncharacterized. The record is from RefSeq and is a predicted model, not a curated record. The transcript is spliced from 4 exons. NCBI's taxonomy places the organism in Eukaryota, Metazoa, Chordata, Aves, Passeriformes, Passeridae.
UUUAGGAGUGCAGGAGCUCCCAGGGGAGCCUCAAACCAGCUUUGCCUUUGGGGAGAUAAACCCAGAUGCAGAGAACACUGGGAAAGGGAGGUUGGCAGCUUGGGAAUCAGCAAAUCCCUGCCUCGAGUAAGCCUUUUGUGACAUCUGUGUCACCCUGGCACAUGGCAGAGGGGGUGCUGGGGAAGUGAGGGCUUCCCUGCAGGAGCACUGGAGAGCUUGGGCCUCUCCUGCUGUUCAGACCAUGCUGGGGACUCUUCUGUCAGUCAUGGGUGGAAAUGAUCCCUGGAAUUUGUUGUCAGUGGCACUGAUUCAAGAAUCCCAUGCUGUGUCUUGCAGUGAGUGGAUCCUUCAUGUCUCUGCUGGUUCAGUCCCUGCCCUGCCUGACACUCCAGAUCACAGUCCCAGUGCUCCCAGCAUUUGCCAACAGCCUGGCAGAAAUUAAUGUAAAAAAGAGCAAACCAGCUAUUGGGGACUAGCUUGGAAAUGUGUAAGAGCCUCUGGGUGUCUGUGCAUAGUGUCCUGCUUUUAUGUAGAGCCUUUUAGGGUUGUUCUGGAGGCAAUUCCAGAACACAGCUUUCUUUGUCAUCCCUCGGUCCCUGCUGACUGAUUCAUGUUCUGCUGAAGGCAAAGAGAGAGGGGAAAAAUGCUGGCAGGACUGCAGAGGAGGCAAACCACAGGGAAUGUGGCAUGGGCAGGGCAUGCAGCCUGGAGCUGGUGGCUCUGCAGCACCCAGGCAAAUUCCAAAAUCAAUUGGAAUUGGGAAAGCUGAACAGGGCGGGGAGGGAGCAGCUGGCAGAGGGCAGAGCCUGAGUAAAGAGGAGUCAGAAACUUUCCUGUUAGUUUGUCACUGAUCCUGAAGCAAAGGUUGGUGAGUAAAAAGCAGUUUACUGCUUUUCCAAAACGUGGCAGCCCCUUUGCCCUGCCCCGGGGAUGAGCCACUCUCCUUUCUUCCUUCCUUCUGCUUCCUUCCUUCCCUCCCCGAGCCAGUCUCCUGAGAGCUUUUCAGUCCAGCUGCAAAUAUCUCAGUUGCACCCAGACUGCAAGAUCUGAAGAGCAGGAAAAAUGUAGGAUUGGGUAAAAGUGACCUCCAGUUUUCCCUCGGGGAGUGGCUCAGCAGCUGCAGCAGUGAGGAGCUGUGGAUGUGCACAGUGGGACCCCGCAGGUUCUCUGGUCUGGCUUUGACCCGCUGCAGUUACAAAACCCCCUUCCCUGCGCCAGCUUUUCUCUCUCUGAAGAUUUAAGGGGUGCAGAUGCUUUUUGCCACGGUGGUGAACUCUGACAAAUGCUUCCUGAGCCUGGUGCUGACCUCGGGAUAGGCAGCUCCUGACUGCGUGCAUUCAUUCCUGCCUCCGUAAUGCUUAAAUAUAGAGCGGCGGUGAGUCACGCGUUCCCGGGACACUGCAGGCUCCUGGCAGCGCUCCUGGGCUGGGAGGGAGAGGGGACUACACCCGUCCUGUCCCUGCGUCCGGUGUCCCCGCGCCUGUGGCAAUGAGCCCCAUCCCAGAUGGAGCUGGAAAAGCCCUCUUGGCUCCGCAUCAGGAGCCGAGCUGCAGCUCCUGUGCUGCAUUCCUCCUUCCCAGCGCGUCGUGGCUGUGUCAGGAUUCUGCCCGUGCCACUCUGCUGGGGAGGACGUGGGAUAGAGGGACCGAGCUCCUUUUCCAUCGGCUUUGGCUGGCUCAGGGAGCUGCUGGUGGAUGUUUAGCCGGGGGAAGAGGCAGCUGGUGGCUCAGCCUUUUCAGCUGCAGCUGCAGUGAUCCUUACCCUUGUUGGGUUCCUCCCCUGCUGGUGACCCCCACGGUCACCCUUCAGCUGCAGCUGUGGCAGAAGAGCCCCAGGGACCCAGGUUCCUGAUGAUGGGAAUUAAGCACAAGCUCCACUGCUCUGCAGGGUGAAGCCCAGGGAGGGCUGUGGUGUACAGACCCCAGAGGUUUUGGUCAUGGAAGAGGCCAGCCUGACCUUCCCACAUAUUUGCCCCUCCUGGAAAAGAGAUCCUCAACAGCUGAUCCUGCUUUCAGCCCAGCAUUAUCUGCCCUCCCCUCUUGCAGCCCUUUAGUGCUGAGUGCUCCCAGUGGAGACACAAGUUUAGUGUUGAACAGGAAUUUGGGGUAGGAGCAGCUCCUGCACCUGCCCUGUGAGAUGCUGAAGGGAAACAGAGGAGCUUGGUUUCCACAAA